CCUACGGGAGGCAGCAGUGGGGAAUAUUGCGCAAUGGGCGAAAGCCUGACGCAGCGACGCCGCGUGAGGGAUGAAGGUCUUCGGAUCGUAAACCUCUGUCAGCAGGGAAGAACGGUCACUGUGCUAAUCAGCAGUGAAUUGACGGUACCUGCAAAGGAAGCGCCGGCUAACUCCGUGCCAGCAGCCGCGGUCAUACGGAGGGUGCGAGCGUUAAUCGGAAUUACUGGGCGUAAAGCGCUCGUAGGCGGUAUGUCAAGUCAAGGGUGAAAUCCCCGCGCUCAACGUGGGAACUGCCUUUGAAACUGGCAAACUUGAGUGUGUGAGAGGAGAGUGGAAGUGCAGGUGUAGGAGUGAAAUCCGUAGAUAUCUGGAGGAACAUCAGUGGCGAAGGCGACUAUCUGGCACAUAACUGACGCUGAGGAGCGAAAGCGUGGGUAGCAAACAGGAUUAGAGACCCUGGUAGUC
This 465-nucleotide ribosomal RNA is filed under the name uncultured bacterium. Its description in RNAcentral is "partial 16S ribosomal RNA". It matches the Rfam family "Bacterial small subunit ribosomal RNA", at positions 338 to 795 of the family's 1533-position model. The record is from RNAcentral.